This 468-nucleotide ribosomal RNA is filed under the name uncultured bacterium. RNAcentral describes it as "partial 16S ribosomal RNA". It matches the Rfam family "Bacterial small subunit ribosomal RNA", at positions 28 to 507 of the family's 1533-position model. The record is from RNAcentral.
GAUGAACGCUGGCGGCGUGCUUAACACAUGCAAGUCGAACGGAAAGGCCGAAGCUUGCUUCGGUACUCGAGUGGCGAACGGGUGAGUAACACGUGGGUGAUCUGCCCUGUACUUCGGGAUAAGCUUGGGAAACUGGGUCUAAUACCGGAUAUGACGAUCUCUUGGAUGGGGUUGUGGAAAGCUUUUGCGGUAUGGGAUGAGCUCGCGGCCGAUCAGCUUGUUGGUGGGGUAAUGGCCUACCAAGGCGUCGACGGGUAGCCGGCCUGAGAGGGUGUACGGCCACAUUGGGACUGAGCUACGGCCCAGACUCCUACGGGAGGCAGCAGUGGGGAAUAUUGCACAAUGGGCGCACGCCUGAUGCAGCGACGCCGCGUGGGGGAUGACGGCCUUCGGGUUGUAAACUCCUUUCGCAAUCGACGAAGCCUUUUGGUGACGGUAGGUUGAGAAGAAGCACCGGCUAACUACGUG